This 466-nucleotide ribosomal RNA is filed under the name uncultured bacterium. Its description in RNAcentral is "bacterial SSU rRNA". It matches the Rfam family "Bacterial small subunit ribosomal RNA", at positions 329 to 793 of the family's 1533-position model. The record is from RNAcentral.
UUCCAGACUCCUACGGGAGGCAGCAGUGAGGAAUAUUGGUCAAUGGCCGCAGGGCUGAACCAGCCAAGUCGCGUGAGGGAUGACGGUCCUAUGGAUUGUAAACCUCUUUUGUCAGGGAGCAAAGGGCGCCACGUGUGGCGUUUUGCGAGUACCUGAAGAAAAAGCAUCGGCUAACUCCGUGCCAGCAGCCGCGGUAAUACGGAGGAUGCGAGCGUUAUCCGGAUUUAUUGGGUUUAAAGGGUGCGCAGGCGGAAUGUCAAGUCAGCGGUAAAAUUUCGGGGCUCAACCCCGUCGUGCCGUUGAAACUGGGUGCCUUGAGUGGGCGAGAAGUACGCGGAAUGCGUGGUGUAGCGGUGAAAUGCAUAGAUAUCACGCAGAACUCCGAUUGCGAAGGCAGCGUACCGGCGCCCAACUGACGCUGAAGCACGAAGGCGUGGGUAUCGAACAGGAUUAGAUACCCGUGUAC